AGAGUUUGAUCAUGGCUCAGAACGUACGCUGGCGGCACGCCUAACACAUGCAAGUCGAACGCAGUAGCAAUACUGAGUGGCAAACGGGUGAGUAUAAUGUGGGAAUCUGCCUUUUGGUUUGGAAUAACACGGGGAAACUUGUGCUAAUACCGAAUAAGCCUUUACAGGGAAAGUUUUAACGCCGAAAGAUGAGCCCGCACUUGAUUAGCUAGUUGGUAAGGUAAAAGCUUACCAAGGCAACGAUCAAUAGCUGUUCUUAGAGGAAGACCAGCCACAUUGGGACUGAGACACGGCCCAGACUCCUACGGGAGGCAGCAGUGGGGAAUCUUGCACAAUGGGGGAAACCCUGAUGCAGCGAUGCCGCGUGAGUGAAGAAGGCCUUUGGGUUGUAAAACUCUUUCGUCGGGGAAGAAAAUGACUGUACCCGAAUAAGAAGGUCCGGCUAACUUCGUGCCAGCAGCCGCGGUAAUACGAAGGGACCUAGCGUAGUUCGGAAUUACUGGGCUUAAAGAGCUCGUAGGUGGUUAAAAAAGUUGAUGGUGAAAUCCCAAGGCUCAACCUUGGAACUGCCAUCAAAACUUUUUAGCUAGAGUGUGAUAGAGGUAAGUGGAAUUUCUAGUGUAGAGGUGAAAUUCGUAGAUAUUAGAAAGAACACCAAAUGCGAAGGCAACUUACUGGGUCACAACUGACACUGAGGAGCGAAAGCAUGGGUAGCGAAGAGGAUUAGAUACCCUCGUAGUCCAUGCCGUAAACGAUGUGUGCUAGACGUUGGAAAUAUAUUUUUCAGUGUCGCAGCGAAAGCAUUAAGCACACCGCCUGGGGAGUACGACCGCAAGGUUAAAACUCAAAUGAAUUGACGGGGACCCGCACAAGCAGUGGAGCAUGUG
Molecule: ribosomal RNA, 887 nt
Filed under: uncultured bacterium
Lineage: Bacteria
Description: bacterial SSU rRNA
Rfam family: Bacterial small subunit ribosomal RNA
Source: RNAcentral